RNAcentral lists this ribosomal RNA (330 nucleotides) under uncultured eukaryote. RNAcentral describes it as "partial 18S ribosomal RNA". It matches the Rfam family "Eukaryotic small subunit ribosomal RNA", at positions 1470 to 1796 of the family's 1831-position model. The record is from RNAcentral.
CCCUUAGAUGAUUUGGGCUGCACGCGCGCUACACUGAAGGAAUCAGCACGUCUUUCUCCUUGUCCGAAAGGACUGGGUAACCCGCUGAACCUCCUUCGUGCUAGGGAUUGGGGCUUGUAAUUCUUCCCCAUGAACGAGGAAUUCCCAGUAAGCGCGAGUCAUAAGCUCGCGUUGAUUACGUCCCUGCCCUUUGUACACACCGCCCGUCGCUACUACCGAUUGGAUGGUUUAGUGAGAUCCUCGGAUUGGUCCCGGAGCGGCCUCUGGUCGUGCCGGAGUGCCGAAAAGAAUGUCGAACUUGAUCAUCUAGAGGAAGUAAAAGUCGUAACA